AAGGAGGAAGUCAGCCUGCCUUCAAAAUUCCCUUGGCUUCGGGGGCUGAGGAUUUGCCCUUGCUGUUGCUGGCAGACAUCAGACUCCAGCUUCUUCAGCUUCUCAACUUGGACUCACACCAGCAGCUCUCCAGGGACCUCCCAGCCCACCAGGCUCAGACGGGCGCCCUGUCCUGAUCUCUUGUCCUGUGGCUUCCGCCUUCCUGAGCGAAGCAGCCACUGGAUCCCCUGGCUCUCCAGUGUGCAGAUAUCCUCAGUGGCUCUCGGGUGCCAUCCUGGGAGCUACCUCCCCAGUCCCCUGCGUAAUUAGGCGGCAUGUAUAUGCUGCCUGUGGGUUCUGUUCUCCAGCACAGCCGUGAAAGUGAAGAGACCUGAAGGAGCUGAGAGGACAGAUGCCUCGUGUGGGCUGGGACCUGCACUGUCCCUUGGCUCGCUGGGCACCCAGGGACCCACGGGGACGUGGCACAUGCUGUCUACAGUCAUUGCAGGCUCUCACAGCCACGGCGCUCGGCUUGGUACCCGGCGUUUAAGCAAAGCUCCUCAGAAUGUUUAGGGAUGAAGGACACCCUGCCGGCCAGCCGCGAUCUGGUGAACAACCUGAGAUGCUAGCAGUUGGGGAGUCUGGUGAGAGACAGCCCUACAGGUGCAAGGAGCAGACCCAGCUGGGGCCCUGCAGCCAGCAGAGGGGAUGGCACCUGACUGCACCUCUCUCGGAAGUUCCGGGAGCCCAGGUCCCGUGGCAGCGAGAGUCCACUUGCCGCCUCCCCUCCCAACACCCACUAAGACCCCGUCCCACCUCCUGGGAGCGCUGAGCAGUCUUGGCCGCCGGGCCACCGCCCGCUUCCAUCAGAGAACCUCAUCUUUCCAGCCUUCCCCUUCCCCGAAAGACCCCUCCUCGGCUGCUUUCCGGAGAAAAUAAGGGCCCAGGACGAGACAAUGAGGAAAACACCUGACUCCGCCCAGGCUCCCAUGGUUUUACAGUCCUGGAAACGGAGCCUGGAGAGGCGACUUGCGUCACCAGAGGUCACACAGCUAUUCUGCGGCCAAGCCAGGCGGGCUGAGCGUGCUCCAUCCGGGCUUCCUGUGUGUGACGCACCCAGCCCGAGAGUGGACAAGCAGGGAG
RNAcentral lists this long non-coding RNA (1122 nucleotides) under Heterocephalus glaber (naked mole-rat). Its description in RNAcentral is "lncRNA (ENSHGLG00000040721.1)". Lineage: Eukaryota; Metazoa; Chordata; Mammalia; Rodentia; Bathyergidae. The record is from RNAcentral.